Molecule: non-coding RNA, 394 nt
Organism: Chiloscyllium plagiosum (whitespotted bambooshark)
Lineage: Eukaryota; Metazoa; Chordata; Chondrichthyes; Orectolobiformes; Hemiscylliidae
Source: RefSeq, a predicted model, not a curated record
UAACAUUAAACUCUGUUUCAGAACCAUAAUGUUUGGAGGUGGAGAGUGAAAAAGUACAUUCCAGCCCAGUCUUUUUUCAGUUUACAAUUCAUGUGUGACGCUAUUACAGAAAUGGGAGACAGAUAGAAGAGAACAUUCUAAGGAAGCACUCUCUGCUGAUGCACACUGCAGCUGUACAAGACAUCAGUGGAGGCCGGCUCAUUGAACAUACCCAGAGUUGAUUUGGACAGAUUUUUAAUGAAACAGUCAGGAACCUCAAGUAAUGGGAACAAUCAGCUACUGAUGGAGCUGUCCCUGUGAUUGAUCUUGUUUGUGGAUGAGACUGCUUCCUUGGUGCAUUAACCACCCCCAGAAGCUGAUUUUGACAGACCAUCCCAGGAAACUGACUCUGAAC